UAAAACCUGCUGCUCUGAAGGUGCCAGCGUCGCUGAGGGAAUUUAUCAAUGUGGAAUGCUCAUCACCUCAUAGGGAAGAUCUGAACCAAGUGAAUGCAAGGAUUUUUUGGCAAUGUCUAGCUCAAUCUCACCUUCGAGAAAAUGUAAUAUUUUUCCUCCGGAGUUAGUCUACACUAUCCAGGUUGUAUGCUACUACUGAGAUCCCAUCAAGGAUGAUCUGAAGCACUCCAAAGAAGCGAAGGGCAGAAGAAGCUUCAUUUCUCAUUGAUGUUAUGUGUGAUCAACUAAAAUUUGCCCAUCUGGUCCGAUCUUUGUAGAACUAUGUUGUUGUGCGCCUGUGCACUUGUUGAGUC
This is a long non-coding RNA of Triticum aestivum (bread wheat), 353 nucleotides long. RefSeq lists it as uncharacterized. The record is from RefSeq and is a predicted model, not a curated record. Lineage: Eukaryota; Viridiplantae; Streptophyta; Magnoliopsida; Poales; Poaceae. The transcript is spliced from 3 exons.